Molecule: ribosomal RNA, 1372 nt
Filed under: uncultured bacterium
Lineage: Bacteria
Description: bacterial SSU rRNA
Rfam family: Bacterial small subunit ribosomal RNA
Source: RNAcentral
GAUGAAUGCUGGCGGCGUGCCUAAUACAUGCAAGUCGAGCGAACAGACGAGGAGCUUGCUCCUUUGACGUUAGCGGCGGACGGGUGAGUAACACGUGGGUAACCUACCUAUAAGACUGGGAUAACUUCGGGAAACCGGAGCUAAUACCGGAUAAUAUUUCGAACCGCAUGGUUCGAUAGUGAAAGAUGGCCCUGCUAUCACUUAUAGAUGGACCUGCGCCGUAUUAGCUAGUUGGUAAGGUAACGGCUUACCAAGGCAACGAUACGUAGCCGACCUGAGAGGGUGAUCGGCCACACUGGAACUGAGACACGGUCCAGACUCCUACGGGAGGCAGCAGUAGGGAAUCUUCCGCAAUGGGCGAAAGCCUGACGGAGCAACGCCGCGUGAGUGAUGAAGAUCUUCGGAUCGUAAAACUCUGUUAUUAGGGAAGAACAAACGUGUAAGUAACUGUGCACGCCUUGACGGUACCUAAUCAGAAAGCCACGGCUAACUACGUGCCAGCAGCCGCGGUAAUACGUAGGUGGCAAGCGUUAUCCGGAAUUAUUGGGCGUAAAGCGCGCGUAGGCGGUUUUUUAAGUCUGAUGUGAAAGCCCACGGCUCAACCGUGGAGGGUCAUUGGAAACUGGAAAACUUGAGUGCAGAAGAGGAAAGUGGAAUUCCAUGUGUAGCGGUGAAAUGCGCAGAGAUAUGGAGGAACACCAGUGGCGAAGGCGACUUUCUGGUCUGUAACUGACGCUGAUGUGCGAAAGCGUGGGGAUCAAACAGGAUUAGAUACCCUGGUAGUCCACGCCGUAAACGAUGAGUGCUAAGUGUUAGGGGGUUUCCGCCCCUUAGUGCUGCAGCUAACACAUUAAGCACUCCGCCUGGGGAGUACGACCGCAAGGUUGAAGCUCAAAGGAAUUGACGGGGACCCGCACAAGCGGUGGAGCAUGUGGUUUAAUUCGAAGCAACGCGAAGAACCUUACCAAAUCUUGACAUCCUUUGACCCUUCUAGAGAUAGAAGUUUCCCCUUCGGGGGACAAAGUGACAGGUGGUGCAUGGUUGUCGUCAGCUCGUGUUGUGAGAUGUUGGGUUAAGUCCCGCAACGAGCGCAACCCUUAAGCUUAGUUGCCAUCAUUAAGUUGGGCACUCUAAGUUGGCUGCCGGUGACAAACCGGAGGAAGGUGGGGAUGACGUCAAAUCAUCAUGCCCCUUAUGAUUUGGGCUACACACGUGCUACAAUGGACAAUACAAAGGGCAGCGAAACCGCGAGGUCAAGCAAAUCCCAUAAAGUUGUUCUCAGUUCGGAUUGUAGUCUGCAACUCGACUACAUGAAGCUGGAAUCGCUAGUAAUCGUAGAUCAGCAUGCUACGGUGAAUACGUUCCCGGGUCU